UACGAAGGGGGCUAGCGUUGCUCGGAAUCACUGGGCGUAAAGCGCCCGUAGGCGGAUUGUUAAGUCAGGGGUGAAAUCCUGGAGCUCAACUCCAGAACUGCCUUUGAUACUGGCGAUCUUGAGUCCGGGAGAGGUGAGUGGAACUGCGAGUGUAGAGGUGAAAUUCGUAGAUAUUCGCAAGAACACCAGUGGCGAAGGCGGCUCACUGGCCCGGUACUGACGCUGAGACGCGAAAGCGUGGGGAGCAAACAGG
Molecule: ribosomal RNA, 253 nt
Filed under: uncultured bacterium
Lineage: Bacteria
Description: partial 16S ribosomal RNA
Rfam family: Bacterial small subunit ribosomal RNA
Source: RNAcentral